GAUGAACGCUAGCGGCAGGCCUAACACAUGCAAGUCGAGGGAGAGGUUACCUUCGGGUAACCAAAACCGGCGCACGGGUGCGUAACGCGUAUACAAUCUGCCUUUCACAUAGGGAUAGCCCGAAGAAAUUUGGAUUAAUACCUAAUGGUAUAUAAGAGCGGCAUCGUUUUUAUAUUAAAGCUACGGUGGUGAAAGAUGAGUAUGCGUUCUAUUAACUAGUUGGAGAGGUAACGGCUCCCCAAGGCGACGAUAGAUAGGGGUUCUGAGAGGGGUGUCCCCCACACUGGUACUGAGAUACGGACCAGACUCCUACGGGAGGCAGCAGUGAGGAAUAUUGGACAAUGGUCGGAAGACUGAUCCAGCCAUGCCGCGUGCAGGAUGAAGGUCCUAUGGAUUGUAAACUGCUUUUGUAAGGGAAGAAUAAGGAGUACGUGUACUUUGAUGACGGUACCUUACGAAUAAGCAUCGGCUAACUCCGUGCCAGCAGCCGCGGUAAUACGGAGGAUGCGAGCGUUAUCCGGAAUCAUUGGGUUUAAAGGGUCCGUAGGCGGGCUGAUAAGUCAGAGGUGAAAGCGCUUAGCUCAACUAAGCAACUGCCUUUGAAACUGUCAGUCUUGAAUGAUUGUGAAGUAGUUGGAAUGUGUAGUGUAGCGGUGAAAUGCUUAGAUAUUACACAGAACACCGAUAGCGAAGGCAUAUUACUAACAAUUUAUUGACGCUGAUGGACGAAAGCGUGGGGAGCGAACAGG
RNAcentral lists this ribosomal RNA (749 nucleotides) under uncultured Capnocytophaga sp. Its description in RNAcentral is "bacterial SSU rRNA". It matches the Rfam family "Bacterial small subunit ribosomal RNA", at positions 28 to 776 of the family's 1533-position model. The record is from RNAcentral. Lineage: Bacteria; Pseudomonadati; Bacteroidota; Flavobacteriia; Flavobacteriales; Flavobacteriaceae.